Molecule: ribosomal RNA, 153 nt
Filed under: Salix viminalis (osier)
Lineage: Eukaryota; Viridiplantae; Streptophyta; Magnoliopsida; Malpighiales; Salicaceae
Rfam family: 5.8S ribosomal RNA
About the family: 5.8S ribosomal RNA (5.8S rRNA) is a component of the large subunit of the eukaryotic ribosome. It is transcribed by RNA polymerase I as part of the 45S precursor that also contains 18S and 28S rRNA.
Source: RNAcentral
GACUCUCGGCAACGGAUAUCUCGGCUCUCGCAUCGAUGAAGACGUAGCGAAAUGCGAUACUUGGUGUGAAUUGCAGAAUCCCGUGAACCAUCGAGUCUUUGAACGCAAGUUGCGCCCGAGGCCUCUGGUCGAGGGCAGUCUGCCUGGGUGUCA